GCCCGCUCAGAAACUUAAAUGAAUUGACGGGGCCCGCACAAGCGGUGGAGUAUGUGGUUAAUUCGAUGCAACGCGAAGAACCUUACCUGGUCUUGACAUCCCGGAGACCCUUAGGAAACUAGGGGGUGCUUCCAUCUGGAAGAAUCUGGAGACAGGUGCUGCAUGGCUGUCGUCAGCUCGUGUCGUGAGAUGUUGGGUUAAGUCCCGCAACGAGCGCAACCCUUGCCUUUAGUUGCCAGCAGUUCGGCUGGGCACUCUAAAGGGACUGCCGGUGUUAAACCGGAGGAAGGUGGGGAUGACGUCAAGUCCUCAUGGCCUUUAUGACCAGGGCUACACACGUACUACAAUGGCCGAUACAAAGGGCAGCGACACUGCGAGGUGAAGCCAAUCCCGUAAAAUCGGUCUCAGUCCGGAUUGGAGUCUGCAACUCGACUCCAUGAAGUUGGAAUCGCUAGUAAUCGUGGAUCAGCAUGCCACGGUGAAUACGUUCCCGGGCCUU
Molecule: ribosomal RNA, 499 nt
Filed under: uncultured Desulfobulbus sp.
Lineage: Bacteria; Pseudomonadati; Thermodesulfobacteriota; Desulfobulbia; Desulfobulbales; Desulfobulbaceae
Description: bacterial SSU rRNA
Rfam family: Bacterial small subunit ribosomal RNA
Source: RNAcentral